This 53-nucleotide transfer RNA is filed under the name Parasaissetia nigra. Its description in RNAcentral is "tRNA-Arg". Lineage: Eukaryota; Metazoa; Arthropoda; Insecta; Hemiptera; Coccidae. The record is from RNAcentral.
UAAUUUAAUAUAUAUUAAAUUCGAAUUAAUAAAAAAAAAAAUUAAUAAAUUAA